Molecule: long non-coding RNA, 1727 nt
Organism: Podarcis muralis (Common wall lizard)
Lineage: Eukaryota; Metazoa; Chordata; Lepidosauria; Squamata; Lacertidae
Source: RefSeq, a predicted model, not a curated record
UCUUGGAGGGGUAAAAAGCACUGAUCAAGGACUUGCCAUUAUUGACAAAAGCAUUUUUCCAGGGUAUUAGCAUGCUUAGUCUUUUUUCUAAGAUGACUUGUGUUUGGGGCCUGCCUCAGAUAAAGAACAUUGAAUCUAAUGGAAGCUUCCCCUUAAGCUGUGGAGCUUCAUAGGUGACCUCUGAACUUAUCUGCCUGUGAUAUGUGCCACCAGAAGAGAAUCUCAACAAAUCAAAAGCAGCACAAAGAGAAUGGGCAAACACAGGGAACAUAGGGUAGAUGAGCACCACGGCUCACAAGAAUCACAAGCAGUAUAUAUUAUCUUGAAACGCUUGUUUUAGGGCUUCAUUUUGAAUUAUUUGGGAAGGCAGCACCAAAUUCAUUGCAUGGUUCUUGAAAUUGAGACCAUCUGGAUAGAGAUGUGGAAAUGUUUUCAGGUUGUUUCUGUAACAUUUUUAAAAAAACUUUAUUGUGAAUAAUAUAUCUUUCUAUUUAUGGAUUUCAUAACUGAGAGAAUGAAAAUCAAGAAAAUGUCCCCCAAAGUCUUGUAUUUCUCCGAUUUAAUCACCAUCUACUGAGUUUCUUAACUGAGAGAUGGGAGUGAGAUCUGCCAUGGCCUAGAGUGUUUCCUAGAUGCAAAAUGUAUUGCACAGUGGUACCUCGGGUUACGAACGCUUCAACUUACGUUUUUUAGGGUUACGAACGUUUUUAACCCGCAAGUAAGUUGUGAGAGCUCCCCGAGGCCUCUGCCGGUGCCAGGAGACAAGGCCCGAAAUCCGAGGAGGCUGAGGCCUCCCCUGAUGCCGGCAGACAAAGCCCGACUUCCGAGGAGGCCUCCAUAGGCCUCCGUGGAUGCCGGCAGACAAAGCCCAACAUCCACAGGGCCUGCAGAGGCCGGGGGGCUAGGCCCCAACAUUCGCAAGCCUGCAAAGGCUCUGUGACUUUGCUCCAGCCACAGAAGGCCUCCGCAACAACCCCAAGACAUCCACAGGAUCCCAGCCCCAAAGUUAGAGCAAUGAAGCUGUUAAGAAACAAGAGGAGCCUCUGCCGAAAAGCCCUUUGCCCCACCCCUAGCUGUAGCAAGAUGGGUGGCACCUAGCCAGGAAAGCCCACCUACCCUGUGUUGGGGGGGGAGUGGAAAAUUUUGGGAUUCUGCAAGGGAUUUUGGGAUUUGUUUAUCCUGUGCCUGUGCCCUGUGCUUUGUCUCUGUUUUGUGCCUUCGUUUGGGGGACUUCUGGGGGACUCUGCCUUCUGCCAUUGUUUUGGGGAUCUGUGGAACUCAGUUCAGCAUCCUGGGACUGCUGACAUGAAGCAAAGCAGCAAUGGCAAGAGAACUGUGAUAAAUGUUGAGACAAAUCUUAAAACAAUGACAAAAGCAAGUCUCAAUCAAAAAAAAAUUGGUAAGGAAAAGAUCCAGUGAGUCUGAACCAGGUGGCAGUGGUGUAAAAAAGGCAAGGGAACGAAUGGCAGGAGAGAAAUCACCGAUGGUUAUUGUGGAAGAGGACCCUGAGCCCCCAUCCAAACAGUGACUAUCGUCAGCACAGGGGUCGCUUUUCAUCGUCUGGUUCCUGUUGAGUGCUUCGCUGCUAAUCAGAGGCUUCCUGUUGAGUCUACCAGCUGUUGGGUCCUGAGCACCCACGCAACACAGAAGUUAUAUUUGGAGGUUUUGUUUUUGCUAUUUUUUUGCAUUUUGGUUUGUGUGGCCUUUUUGGUUUUUUGACUGUGACU